Molecule: long non-coding RNA, 2779 nt
Organism: Colius striatus (speckled mousebird)
Lineage: Eukaryota; Metazoa; Chordata; Aves; Coliiformes; Coliidae
Exons: 3
Source: RefSeq, a predicted model, not a curated record
CCCGCUCCCAGCAGCCCUUGCAGCCGCCUACAAUGAAAUUUGCGAAGUUUUUUCGGUUUCGGCGCCAUUUUCGAGUGGACUCGGAGGAGUCGGGCUCCCAGAUCUUCUGUCCCUUGUUGUUUAAAACUGGAGGAGAUGACAAUGCAAAAAAGCAAAAAAAAGGAAGUAGCAAGACCCAUCAGACUUUUCUCCUCAGCAGUGUUGAGAAAAAACUCUGGAUCCUGGAAUUUAACUGUGGAUUUCACUGGUUUUCUGGAGGACUUUCCUGUUGAAGCAGGGAUCGUCCGUGCCCAGGGAGGAUGACGCAGAGGAACCAACAUGCCCCUCAGAGGUGAGUUAGGGAGGUAAGCUCAGUGCCCUGCUCCCAAAUACCCAUAUCCCUCGGGGUAAAUAGAGGUUCCUCUCAAGCAGCUGCAGGUAACACACCAGAGAGGGUGAGAGAAACUCAGUGUCCUGUUCAGCUGCAUCUUUCUGAUUGAAUAUUGAGAACCCAAAGCAGAAAGUUAGAAGGAAGCUCCAGUGUGAGAUUGGCUGAUCAGAACCCAGAGCUUUAAUGAUGCCAUCAUGUCAUAAAUGGAUGCAUUUUCUCAGAUACGUGUUUCACUGCCUAUCCCAAGUUUCCACUUGCCCAGUAUUCAGUGUGAAUGUUGAUUUUUCUCCCUCUGUGUGAGAGAAUAGGCUGGUGGAGGUGCAUUGAACCCACACCUUGGGAAUUCCUCCUUGCCAAAGAGAGCUCUUGCCCCCCUUGUCAAACAAGGCUAAAGACUUAUGUAUGUAUAAAUAUAUAUUAAAAAAACCCCAUUAAUUAAAGCCUGAACCUCAAACACAAACAAAAUGGAUUCUAGAGCUGAGGUGGUUUGUUGUUGGUUGGGGUUUGAAGUCACUUGAAGAGAUGAAAGAAAGAAGACUACACAGGAGCAGUCAAGUAAAACUUUGUUACAGCAACAAUUAAUGGUGAAGUUACUUGGGGGCUGGUUUUGUUUUAGCUUGUGUGAGUUUAACUUUCUCCAGGUACUCGUUGGCUUUGCAGUUGGAACCGCUGCUUUUGGUAUUGGGGACACUGAAGUGGUGAAGAAAAGCCCUACUUUUUGUUGUUGUUGGCAAAUAUUUGAUUUAAAAUUUGCAAUAUGUUGGCAAGAGUUGUGAGAGCCUUUGAAAUUCCUGUUUUGAAGCUUUGCUGAAGAGAGAGGGGGCAGGAAAGGGGCUACAGGGGAGCCAGGGCACGGCAGCACACGGCCUCGCUUCUGGUCUUGUUUGAGUGGCUUUGGUGAUGCUGGUGCUUUUUAAGAAGGUGAAUUGAAGGAAGUGGAGGGGGAAAAAACCCCACCCCAAUAAGCCGAAAUGAAACACGUGAAAUGUCAGGCUACCUGCAGGGCUUCUGCACAGCCCUGGUGGGCCAGUGCCUUGGGAGCUGUGAGCUUCAGAGCCACGGCCUCCCCUCUGCCCUGUGCUGGUGUUUUCCUCCCUGGUACAAGCAGAGGAGGAGGUGAAGUUCCAGGGAAUCUUUAAUUUCUAAUCACAGAAAUUUUGUCCAUUCAAAUAGUAAAUGAGUGUAUCCAAAUCUCUAAUAAAAGAGUGGUUUUUAGGUUUCUCAAAAUGAGCCAAAUGAAAAUAUUUUAAGGAAAACUUGAAGAGGUUGGAACUACUGGAAACUGGAUUUAUCUGCAACAUUAACAUUGUGACUCCUGGAAAAUCCUUGAUAUUAGUCCCCAAAAGGAAAGUACAAGGUAACAUCUGCCUACAAACCAUGGGGAAAAGCCAGGAAGGUCUGGAGGCUCUUUGCAGCAGCCAAAGCAGCAGAUCUGCUAGAUCUGAAAGUGUAGGUUUGCCAGGACCCACAUAUGGAGUAUACUUUGGGGGUGGGGGGAACACUUAAUUUCUGAUUUUGUUUCUGGAACUAGUUUGUUUGCACUGUGUAACUGCUUGUUUUCUUAUAGUUACAGACUUUCUGAUAGCACCUGUGAAGAGAAAACCCAAAUGUCCCAUGGUGGUAAUGCUUGCAUGUUAAAUGUCUUCACUGUAGUGUUCUUAAGUACUUUGUAUCAUGGCUUUUAAAAAAAUAAUAAUAUUCAAAAUACCAUUUGGAAUAUCAACAUUCAGUGGGCUUUGAGGAGAUGUAGCAGCACAUCAUGGUUUGUAGGGACAAGGAGAUACAGACCAUUCUGGGCUGCCUCAUUACCUCAAGGAUAAGACAAGAAAGUGAGCUUCUGGUUAUCAUAGAUGUGGAAGCUAACACAUUCCCAUGUCUCUCUUUAGUUCAGUUGAACAGGUACGUGUAGAUAAGUUCUCCUCAUGCUUGUAUCUGUGCCCAUCCUUUGCAGCUACAAAUACAUCCCCUCUGAGUCUGUGUGUGUGUGUGUCUCAGCGGGGCUGCCCCUGCAGGCAGGGAGGACUGGGAGCUCCUUUUUGUUCUCCAACAUGGGCAUGGGUGAUGUUGGCUUGAGCACUGUGCCUUCAGCUGACCCUUCACCUAUUGCUCUUCAGUCCUUUCCCCAGCAAAGGACCGGCCAAGGUACUCUGUUGCCUGUGUUUGGGGUGGGGGAAAGGAGGGGCUGGAGGCUGUGGAGGGGCUCUAGGAUGGAGAGCUGUCAGCAGUGCUCUAGCAGCACGUAAAUACUGGAGUUUGGGAUUGCCUGUUGCUCUCCAGUAUUGCAUUGCUGCUUUAGUGAGGCUGGAAAUCGGUCCCUGCCGUGGGAGCUGGGGCUCAGACUCCCAGGGUACCUCCUGGGCACUGCUGUGGUGCUUCGGGGCUCUCCUCACACACCAAUAAACCACUGCG